RNAcentral lists this ribosomal RNA (446 nucleotides) under uncultured bacterium. Its description in RNAcentral is "bacterial SSU rRNA". It matches the Rfam family "Bacterial small subunit ribosomal RNA", at positions 330 to 793 of the family's 1533-position model. The record is from RNAcentral.
GCCAGACUCCUACGGGAGGCAGCAGUGGGGAAUAUUGCACAAUGGGGGGAACCCUGAUCCAGCGACGCCGCGUGAGUGAAGAAGUAUUUCGGUAUGUAAAGCUCUCUCAGCAGGGAAGAAAAUGACGGUACCUGACUAAGAAGCCCCGGCUAACUACGUGCCAGCAGCCGCGGUAAUACGUAGGGGGCAAGCGUUAUCCGGAUUUACUGGGUGUAAAGGGAGCGUAGACGGCAGAGCAAGUCUGAAGUGAAAGCCCGCGGCCCAACUGCGGGACUGCUCUUGGAACUGCGUGGCUGGAGUGCAGGAGGGGCAGGCGGAAUUCCUGGUGUAGCGGUGAAAUGCGUAUAUAUCAGGAGGAACGCCGGUGGCGAAGGCGGCCUGCUGGACUGCAACUGACGUUGAGGCCCGAAAGCGUGGGGAGCAAACAGGAUUAGAUACCCUAGUAA